GACGAACGCUGGCGGCGUGCCUAAUACAUGCAAGUAGAACGCAGUUGCGAAAGGGGGAGUAACGCGUAUGUAACUGCCUCAUAGCGAGGGAUAACUAGUGGAAACGAUAGCUAUUACCGCACAUUGUGAGAUGGACCUGCUUUGUAUUAGUUAGUUGGUGGGGUAAAGGCGCACCAAGGCGACGAUACAUAGCCGGCGUGAGAGGUUGAUCGGCCACACUGGGACUGAGACACGGCCCAGACUCCUACGGGAGGCAGCAGUAGGGAAUCUUCGGCAAUGGACGAAAGUCUGACCGAGCAACGCCGCGUGAGUGAAGACGGUUUUCGGGUCGUAAAGCUCUGUUGUUAGGGAAGCGGUACCUAAACAGAAAGGGACGGCUAACUACGUGCCAGCCGCCGCGGUAAUUC
RNAcentral lists this ribosomal RNA (407 nucleotides) under uncultured bacterium. RNAcentral's name for it is "partial 16S ribosomal RNA". It matches the Rfam family "Bacterial small subunit ribosomal RNA", at positions 28 to 526 of the family's 1533-position model. The record is from RNAcentral.